GGGGAAUUUGGGGGGGCAAAAAAAAAAAAGGAGAGACAAAAAAGAGAGAUGAGAGUGGCGGCUGAAUCUGGAGAAGAUUGAGAAAAACACAGCAAAGGAAAAGAAAAGAAGAGAGUAAAGAAAAAUAGCGGCUAAAAGGAGCUGGGGGCAAAAAACAAAGAUCAACGGACAGAGGUAGAAAUCAAGGGGUUUUAGAGCGAAUCUGAGGAGGUUGAGAGAGGAAACCAGCCAAAGAAAGGGAGAAACGGAGGAGACUGUCAGGGCAAAGGAAAAAAAAGAAAAAGGGAAAAAAGCUUCUGGGAAAGAGAUAGAAAUGGAGAGGAAAGUGAGAAAUCUGAAGCAGAGAGAGAGGGUCUCAUCUUGAGGGAAACAAAAAUCAAGGAACAAAAAAAGGCAGAGGGCUUCACAAGCAAAAGGGGUGGUGGACGAGAGGAAAAGAAGGAGAGUUGCGAAGAAACAGAGCAAGGAGAGCCCAUCGGAAGAACCAUUGGCACCAUCGCUCGCCGUUUCGUCGGCCACACUAAAGAUGUUCUCUCGGUAGCCUUCCCCAUCUCCAUCCACGAAUCUUUACCUUACAAAAGCACUGUAAGUUUCGUUUCUCUCCAAAAUUUUUCAGUUUUUGUCUAGCUUUUGAAAUGGAACUUCCGUGGCUUCAUCUAGUGUAAUUUUCCUGCUAAUUGGCCUCAAUUUUUGAAUAUGCAUGCUGUAUAUGAUGACUGGAAUUGAAUUUCUCUGUUUCUGAUAAUUUUUGGGGCUGAUUGUUACUUUGAUUGAGCACAGAUUUGCUGAUUUUUUUUACGCUCAUGUAUUGUUUGAUAAAAUGCCUAACCGAAAGUUCCACUUGAAAAUGAUUUUUGCUUGCGUUGUGCGUGUGAGGAAGAACGAACAGUCAGGAGGUUUCAUGCUUGUCAAAAUAGUUAAUUUCAUAAACAUAGGUUUGGGAAAUUUUCAGAGCACGUCUGCCAUGCGUUUUGUGCAGUGGAAGUUUCAUGUUGUUUGUUCAUAAUUUUAGAUUAUAUGUGCCUUAUGUGUUAAAUUGGACUGAAAGCUCUUGCUUUUUGAACAAUUUUGGGGCCGAUUAACUUCAAUUCGAGCAAAAAUCUGAUGAAAUUCUAAUGCCCUCAACCUGUUUGUUAAAAUGCCCGAACGAUGAUUGCUUGUAUGAGUUCGACGGAAAUGGAAACUGAUGCUUAUUCUCCUUGUCUUGUGGUUUAACCCCAGAAUUUUAGAACUUCAUAAUUUGACCCCAAAAUGUUCACAAUAAUGUCAAUUAGAUCCCUAUUUUUGUUGUGUUGAAAUCCCUUAAUCUUCCCCCUUGUUUUGAUAUGACUCGGAAAAUUGGAAAAAGUGAACUUGUUUCUUCCUUUUAGAUCUUAUUUAUCUUUUUAUAUGCAUAAGUAGUCUUUUAGCUUGAUUAUUUCUUGUUUUUUUAGAUCAUAAUUGUGGCUUAAUAAUUUUGUGGAUUUUAUCAUGUUGGGUUUAGGGAAAUUGGAUUUUUUGGGUAAGAGGUUUAUUUGGUUGGGUUUGGUAAUAGAUUUUGAUGUAUUUCUUCUGGACUGAUGAUUUGGGCUUGGAGGCUUAAAGCCCUUAACUUUGUAUGAGCUAGAUUAGUGAAAAUGAUGGGCUAGCCUGCUUGUUUUUCCUUGGACUUCCGAUUGGGCCAAGUGACUUUUGGCCCCAACAAACAAGAAAUGACCCAGUGGCCUGAUCCAUUAAGAAACUAAAAAAUGAAUUUGCAAAUAAGUCCUCAGACUUUUCCUUAAUUAUGCUACGGCCCUAAAAACUUUAGGCUUCUUUCAAUUGGGUCCUUAAUUUAAUUGCAAAUAGGCCUCUGAACUUUAUUUUUCUUUAAUUGUGACCCCGGAUCUUUGUAAUGAUUAUAAUUUGACCCCCAAAGUUUUGUUGAGUUUUGCAAUCAAGCCCUUCAUUCUUUUAAUUCCUUAAAUGUAGGUUGUUUACAUGAUUUAAUUGAUUUAAUUUCAUGAUUAUUUGUUAAUUAAAGUGGUGCCUUGACCCUUUCUUUGUUUUUGGAGGGUAAAUAAGAGAGUAAUUC
RNAcentral lists this long non-coding RNA (2053 nucleotides) under Coffea arabica (coffee). RNAcentral's name for it is "long non-coding RNA (CARA_LNC008053)". Lineage: Eukaryota; Viridiplantae; Streptophyta; Magnoliopsida; Gentianales; Rubiaceae. The record is from RNAcentral.